AGUGGCGGACGGGUAAGUAACACGUGGGCAACCUGCCUGAGAGUGCAGAAUAACCCUGCGAAAGCAGAGCUAAUACUGCAUGUGGUUGUCGGAUGGCAUCAUCUGACAACUAAAGUCGCAAGACGCUCUCAGAUGGGCCCGCGGCCUAGUAGCUAGUUGGUGAGGUAACGGCCCACCAAGGCUGUGAUGGGUAGCUGGUCUGAGAGGACGGACAGCCACACUGGGACUGAGACACGGCCCAGACUCCUACGGGAGGCAGCAGUGAGGAAUUUUCCGCAAUGGGCGAAAGCCUGACGGAGCAACGCCGCGUGAGGGAUGAAGUCUCUAGGGAUGUAAACCUCUGUUGGGUGGGACGAAGAUCUGACGGUACCACCUGAGGAAGCCCCGGCUAACUACGUGCCAGCAGCCGCGGUAAUACGUAGGGGGCAAGCGUUAUCCGGAUUUACUGGGCGUAAAGAGCGCGUAGGCGGUCCCGUAAGUUGGUUGUGAAAGUUCGAGGCUCAACCUCGAAACUGCGUCCAA
Molecule: ribosomal RNA, 522 nt
Filed under: uncultured bacterium
Lineage: Bacteria
Description: bacterial SSU rRNA
Rfam family: Bacterial small subunit ribosomal RNA
Source: RNAcentral